AUGCUGAGAUAUGAUCUCGAGGAUCAGCUCUUGAUCAUAUACACGGAUGAAGAAGCAUACUGGAGGCUUCGCGGUACUCAGAAAUGGGUGCUCCGUGGAGACGCCAAUACGGCUUACUUCUAGGCGAUCGCGAAUGGGCGGCGACGACGGAACUCCAUUCAUUGCUUAUGGGAUGGGGAUUCCUAGAUUGUCUGUCCAUCGGACAUCCGUGCCCACGUAGACGGUUUUUACAAAGCCCUAUUCUCCCCCACCCUUCGUGGUGGGGCCGCACUGGCCCUCGACACUUGGUCGGGUAACCAGUUAGUGUACGAUGAGGCAAAUGCCGCCUUGGUGGCGCCUUUUUCGGAGGACGAGGUCCUCACGACCAUAAAGGGUAUGAACCCCUCCUCGGCCCCGGGACCGGAUGGACUGCCUGUGACUUUUUUCAAAAUGUUAUGGCAGACUAUCAAACCGGAAGUCAUGGCCCUCUUCGACGAAUUCUUCUCGGGGACCAUGGACCUUGGGCACCUAAACUAUGGGGUCAUCACUCUCAUCCCCAAAGUUCCGGGUGCUUCUGACAUCCGCCAGUUCCGACCUAUCACUGUGAUCAAUGUGAUAUUCCGGAUCUUGGCCAAAGGGUACGCCAAUAGGGUGACCCUCUUAGCUGACACUCACUGCCGGAGCUUCGGCAAGGCCGAAUGGGCCGUGGCCCGCCCAACAUUUUGA
This 705-nucleotide ribosomal RNA is filed under the name Triticum aestivum (bread wheat). Its description in RNAcentral is "partial small subunit ribosomal RNA". Lineage: Eukaryota; Viridiplantae; Streptophyta; Magnoliopsida; Poales; Poaceae. The record is from RNAcentral.